Molecule: ribosomal RNA, 434 nt
Filed under: uncultured bacterium
Lineage: Bacteria
Description: bacterial SSU rRNA
Rfam family: Bacterial small subunit ribosomal RNA
Source: RNAcentral
AACGCGAAGAACCUUACCUACUCUUGACAUCCAGAGAACUUUCCAGAGAUGGAUUGGUGCCUUCGGGAACUCUGAGACAGGUGCUGCAUGGCUGUCGUCAGCUCGUGUUGUGAAAUGUUGGGUUAAGUCCCGCAACGAGCGCAACCCUUAUCCUUUGUUGCCAGCGGUUAGGCCGGGAACUCAAAGGAGACUGCCAGUGAUAAACUGGAGGAAGGUGGGGAUGACGUCAAGUCAUCAUGGCCCUUACGAGUAGGGCUACACACGUGCUACAAUGGCGCAUACAAAGAGAAGCGACCUCGCGAGAGCAAGCGGACCUCAUAAAGUGCGUCGUGGUCCGGAUUGGAGUCUGCAACUCGACUCCAUGAAGUCGGAAUCGCUAGUAAUCGUAGAUCAGAAUGCUACGGUGAAUACGUUCCCGGGUCUUGUACACACCG